Non-coding RNA from Oryzias latipes (Japanese medaka), 1804 nucleotides. Lineage: Eukaryota; Metazoa; Chordata; Actinopteri; Beloniformes; Adrianichthyidae. The record is from RefSeq and is a predicted model, not a curated record.
UGGAGUUUAUAAAAUAUUAGGAUCUAUUAUAUUCUUUUUUCUUUAACUGUCAAUUUUUUGACGUAUCUCAUAUAUUAUAGUAUUACAAUGAAGUGCUCUAAUUUAUCUGUUAAAAAAGGUUUCAUCACUGUUUCCUGUAGUAAUUCUCAAUAAUGUUUUAAAUAGGAUAGAUUAAAUAGGAUAUAUUAUCUAAAGUAAACAGGCUUUUAAGCCUUCAAUUUGCCCCAAUUGACAUGAAGUGCGCAUUUCGAAAAGCCAGUGAACGCAGCGUCAUACGGGCACCCCCACCCCACUCCCCCGGAAACCCCCGGAUGAACCCGCAGGAAGGCGCGCGGCUGAAGAACUUCUUGGACAGCUGGAAGGAUAAACGUUGAAUGACGAGGCGUUUUUCCAUCUUAAAUUUAAAAGGCCGCAGGAUCACGGUGAAGGCUUCUUCUGUAUAGAGGACGGGGGCGGAAACGUCACGUGGUCUCCGCAGAGACUGGUCAGUUAUGUUGAGACAACAUGCACAAAUAGUUCCUGGACUGAUCUUCUGCUAACUUUGAGGUGGAGAAGCUGUCAGGUUCAUCUGUUUCAGGGUCCUGCAUGCUCUCCCUCCAUGUUGGCUGUAGCAGUGGAUGGAACUUGCUAAAUGUACUGUUUUGAGAGCCAACUGGGCUCAGUGGUUAUUUGGAAGAUGCGUUUUUGACCAAAAACACUGUGGUGACCUCCUUUGUGAACUGCAUUCAUGGGGAAAUAGAAUAUAAUCCUGGAGAUGGGAGAUGUGGAGCAGGUAAGUUUGUGGCAGCACCAGAGUCCUCCAAAAAGUCUUCUGGCAAAGUAAAUGAGGAAGGAUCGCAGUCUGCCAUCGUGGAGUUUUGCUGAAAGGCCUGAACACGUUCCAUCCAUGCAUCCAUCUUCUUCCAUUCAUCAGGAACCAGGUUGUGAGGGCAGCAGUCUAAGCAAAGAUGCCCACACUUCCCUCUCCUCCAGCUCCUCUUGGGGGACCCCGGGGCCAGCUGAGAGACGUAGUCUCCCCAGCGUGUCCUGGGUCUCCCUUAGGGCCUCUGCCCUUAUUCCUGUUGGAGUUUUUUUCUAACCCCUUAUGUUUCAAAAGUUUGCAAACAUACAUUUUGGUUGAAAUGAUGAGGAUCCGAGGAUGAAAUCAAGAAGGGACAACAUCAGGGAAAGGGACUGAACCAUCUGAACAGCUUCCUCUCUUCAGCAGACACAUGUUCCGAGUACAUAUGUGUCAAAUAUUGACAUCCUCGCCGUUCAGGCCGGUGGCUGGAACAAGCGGAAGUCAGAAAAGCUGGAGCAGACGUUACCAGAAUGAUACCUCCAGGACCAAUCAAAAUGACCCAGAGAAAAACACUGAAGGGCUUUGUCUGAGCAUCAGGAAAACAAGAAUCAGCUGUCAUCAACAUAUGGUGGAUAAAGGUGGAAAGAUUUCAUGUAAUCCAUGGACACCAAUGAAGAUCACAAAUCAUUGAAGAAAAAAGGUUCAGAGCACUGUCUAGUGGGUCUAGAUGACCCAACUCCCAAUGGUUAUGGUGCCAUGGUAAUAUGAUGUCAUGCUGCUGACCAGACUGUGGUUGGUGAAGUCCAGCAGCACUGCGGGUCCUUGAAGUGUGGUUGAAGAGCUCUCCUCCCAGCUUUUGGAAGGCAGCACAGAGUCAUUGAUGGAGAGAGAACAUGAGGGACUAAUUGUCUGCUGAGGAGGAGACUUUCUGCAGUUCAAGCCCCAGCUCCACCCCUAAAAAAAGGCUUAUAUGAAGGAAAACCUCAUUUCAACUUUGUACCAAUAAAUGACUUUUAAUUGAAA